CAGCCGCCACGGUAAUACGUAGGUGGCAAGCGUUGUCCGGAAUUAUUGGGCGUAAAGGGCUCGCAGGCGGUUUCUUAAGUCUGAUGUGAAAGCCCCCGGCUCAACCGGGGAGGGUCAUCGGAAACUGGGAAACUUGAGUGCAGAAGAGGAGAGUGGAAUUCCACGUGUAGCGGUGAAAUGCGUAGAGAUGUGGAGGAACACCAGUGGCGAAGGCGACUCUCUGGUCUGUAACUGACGCUGAGGAGCGAAAGCGUGGGGAGCGAACAGGAUUAGAGACCCCUGUAGUCCCUGUCUCUUAUAC
This 301-nucleotide ribosomal RNA is filed under the name uncultured bacterium. Its description in RNAcentral is "partial 16S ribosomal RNA". It matches the Rfam family "Bacterial small subunit ribosomal RNA", at positions 509 to 807 of the family's 1533-position model. The record is from RNAcentral.